Molecule: ribosomal RNA, 489 nt
Filed under: uncultured Mycobacterium sp.
Lineage: Bacteria; Bacillati; Actinomycetota; Actinomycetes; Mycobacteriales; Mycobacteriaceae
Description: bacterial SSU rRNA
Rfam family: Bacterial small subunit ribosomal RNA
Source: RNAcentral
AGAGUUUCGAUCCUCGGCUCGAGGACGAACGCUGGCGGCGUGCUUAACACAUGCAAGUCGAACGGAAGGCCCUUUCGGGGGUACUCGAGUGGCGAACGGGUGAGUAACACGUGGGUGAUCUGCCCUGCACUUUGGGAUAAGCCUGGGAAACUGGGGUCUAAUACCGAAUAUACCCUGCUGGUCGCAUGGCCUGGUAGGGGAAAGCUUUUGCGGUGUGGGAUGGGCCCGCGGCCUAUCAGCUUGUUGGUGGGGUGAUGGCCUACCAAGGCGACGACGGGUAGCCGGCCUGAGAGGGUGACCGGCCACACUGGGACUGAGAUACGGCCCAGACUCCUACGGGAGGCAGCAGUGGGGAAUAUUGCACAAUGGGCGCAAGCCUGAUGCAGCGACGCCGCGUGAGGAAUGACGGCCUUCGGGUUGUAAACCUCUUUCAGCACAGACGAAGCGCAAGUGACGGUAUGUGCAGAAGAAGGACCGGCCAACUACGUG